Molecule: long non-coding RNA, 321 nt
Filed under: Taeniopygia guttata (zebra finch)
Lineage: Eukaryota; Metazoa; Chordata; Aves; Passeriformes; Estrildidae
Description: lncRNA (ENSTGUG00000025532.1)
Source: RNAcentral
GGGCAUUGUGGACCAUUGUCUAACAGGAAUGGUUCUCUCAGAACUGACUCAGGAAAUGGAUCUGGUUGAUUAUUCAAGACCUUCAGCAAAGCCUUGUAAAAGAGUUGCCUCAUUUCGUGACACCUCUUUGAAGGACAUACCGAUGUUUGUGUGCUCUUUUGAAGGAGUGGACGUGAAUCAAACUGGUGAUAAAUCAUAUUUCAUACACUGCUUUUGCCCCUGGCAUGUGCUCCUAUGGAACCAGGCUGGGACAGAAGUUCUUCAAGGGUCUCCAGGUGUGUGACCAUUCAAAGGAUGUUCCUGAAUUCCAGCCCCACUCUU